AUCUACUGCCAUGCCACCCUGAACACGCCUGAUCUCAUCUGAUCUCAGAAGCUAAGCAGGGUCGAGCCUGGUUAGUACUUGGAUGAGAGACCACCUAGGAAAACCAGGUGCUUUAGGCA
RNAcentral lists this ribosomal RNA (119 nucleotides) under Pteropus alecto (black flying fox). Lineage: Eukaryota; Metazoa; Chordata; Mammalia; Chiroptera; Pteropodidae. The record is from RNAcentral.